GGGGGCGUAGCUCAGAUGGUAGAGCAAUUGCUUAGUAUGAGAGAGGUACGGGGAUCGAUACCCCGCGUCUCAA
Molecule: transfer RNA, 73 nt
Filed under: Trichonephila inaurata madagascariensis
Lineage: Eukaryota; Metazoa; Arthropoda; Arachnida; Araneae; Nephilidae
Rfam family: tRNA
About the family: Transfer RNA (tRNA) molecules are approximately 80 nucleotides in length. Their secondary structure includes four short double-helical elements and three loops (D, anti-codon, and T loops).
Source: Rfam by way of RNAcentral